This 855-nucleotide long non-coding RNA is filed under the name Ovis aries (sheep). RNAcentral describes it as "lncRNA (ENSOARG00000026549.1)". Lineage: Eukaryota; Metazoa; Chordata; Mammalia; Artiodactyla; Bovidae. The record is from RNAcentral.
UUAAGUCCCAAAGUUAACGAUUUUUUCUGCUAUUUUGGUUCUUAUAUAGGUUCUUUUGUUUGCCAGGAACAAGGAUUCAUUCAGGUUACCUCCUACAGGGAAUCUUAUAAAAAUAAAGGAAACAGGAAUCUUAGCCAAUCCUCAAGGAAAGCCAGGAAAAAAAGAAAAAAAAAAAGGUGUUUUAAGCAAGAAUAAGAAAGACUGAACAGCCAAACCUUGUGGCAACUGGAAUGUAGACUUGAUGCAAAUGCAGGUUGUCUCCUUGUUUUCUCAGCUGCCUGGGCUCCACCCCCUGCUCUCUGUCCCUCCCAUUCAGCUUCCAGUUUCUGUCUUGAAUGGGCUCACUCGGGUAUGUUUUCCCCUCCACUUCCACCACCAACAAGCUACCUCUCAAUGUGUCUCCCAGUCUAACCCCCACCAAGAGGAAGACUGGGAAUCAGUGUUACUAUGAAGGAAGACUCUGACUUCACCCCUCCUCAGAAGCCCCCAGACACCCUGAAGUUAGACGUCCAACAGAUACAUCACGGUGGCCAAGACCGCAGUCAGUUGGUGAUCCUUAAUCCAGGAAAUGGACCUAGACUCAUUAAGUUCAGAAGCGGUGUGGCUUCAAUAAACUGUCAGUUGUUCUUAGAACCUAACCCAUCUACAAGGCAUGUGAGUGUCUUCAAGAUCUGUUCUUUGCCUACCUUUACUGCUAAGAUUAUCUCUAGCCUCAUACUUUGUGUAUGGAAAAACUCCAAACUUAUAGAAGAAUCAAAUAAGUAUCACAAUAUACAUGUACCCUUCAUCAAAAAUAAAUAAGUGUUAACAUCCAGUCGUGCUUUCUUCAGAACUUUUUUUUUUUUUAAGAAAAUA